Molecule: non-coding RNA, 2200 nt
Organism: Corylus avellana
Lineage: Eukaryota; Viridiplantae; Streptophyta; Magnoliopsida; Fagales; Betulaceae
Source: RefSeq, a predicted model, not a curated record
UACCUUCAGCUCUCAAAACCCAUAUUAUCUGUCCGUCAUACGGGGGAGUUAGAAAGAUCGGCAGCAAUGGAAUCGAAGGGGCUUCCUAGCAACCAUUCUAACGACAACAGAGAAAACAGGGUUAAGCGUAAAGAGGUUCUUGAGAAGAAGAAGGCGAUGGAUGAGCUUAUCAAAUCAGCCUCGGCUGAUAAAGACCCUCUUUCUUCUUUCCCAUCCUUUCGCCACUUCGACAGAAAUGGCCUAUCUAUAUACUUGAAAUCGGGGUGCGGGGAUAAACUCUCCUCUUCUAUCAAGCAAUACAUUAUGAGGCUCCUUAAGGCCAAUAUGGAGGCACCAUAUGGGUUUGAAUGGCCAACAGAGGAGAAGGUGAAGCGUAGUGAAAUGGUUGCACCAGAAGCACGUUAUAUAUUUGUGCAUGAGGCUCCAAGUGCAAGUACGAGUGAGAUCUUAACAAUGUCAGAAAGGAAAAGACCUUCAAAUAAUUGUGUUGAAGAUAGGGGACCCAUGGUUGGAUUUGUACACUACCGCUUUACUCUAGAGGAAAAGAUACCCGUACUUUAUGUGUAUGAAUUACAACUUGAGCCUUGUGUCCAAGCAAAAGGACUGGGGAAUUUUCUAAUGCAACUUAUUGAGCUUAUUGCGUGCAAGAACCGCAUGAGUGCCGUGGUGCUGACUGUUCAAAAAGCAAAUUCUUUAGCUAUGAAUUUCUAUUUAAAUAAGCUAAGAAUUGGUGAAAAUUUUGUUUUAGUUUUGAGCAGAUACGUUGUAUCAACUGUUUCACCGUCAAGAGUUGAUCCAUUGAUUUUCGUGCAGCUUGGAAUUGAGAAGAGUUAUGAAAUUCUUUGCAAAGCAUUUGAUCAUGAAGCUAAAGCUAUCUUGGAGGUGACAAAUUAGUUUCCUGGAAGCCAGUGCCAAAGGAAGCAAGGGGUUAAAACAUCAAUCAGAAAAAUGGGGACCAAUAAAUGCUCAGCUCAUCUGUGAUCUGUCUCUUUGGAAUCUGUAUUUGGUGAACUGCAGCUACCAUGCAAGCAAAUUUAAUAAUUGGAUUACUCAUGCUUGGAGAGUAAUGAUUCAGACCCACUGAGGAGAGUCGCAAGAUUUUCUAUGCUGCCCAGGUCCAUCCCCAUACUUUCAUUGAAGACAUGGGAACUUUCUGAUACUUCUGGUGGCUGAGAUCCAUCCCCAUACUUUCAUUGUGGACUUGGAUGAACUUUCUGGUGGCUGGGACUGUGAACCGUGGUAGUAAAGUGAUAGCUGCUGGCAUGAUAGUAAACGAUUGGACAGCGUACUAACAAUGUUAGCAAUAAUUCAUUUUCAUGAACAAGGAACCACCCAGCUUUCUCAUUUGAAAAGGAAAACUGUAAAGAGUUUUAAAUACUAUGCAGCUUUCUCAUUUGAUUGCAAAACUUGUAAAAUUAAGAGCUGCAGCAAUGGAGGAAAGGAGUUGGGGUAGCUAUAUAUAUAUAUAUAUAUGCAGCCUAGGAAGACAAAGAGAGUGAUGGCAGCAACCACAUCAUCAUUCAUCAUCAUCUAUUCUCUAAGCAGAGAUUUUCAUCUUCAUUUUCUACAAUCAUUCUCCUCCUUCUUAAGGCCACGGUAUAAUAGUUCACUCAAAUUAUCUAAUUAAACAUCUUGUAGAAAGGUAGUCCAGAUUUUACUCGAUUCAAAGCUUUUCUCUUAAUUGUUCUAAAACUAGGGUUACAGGUCCUAUAACCAGGAAUUCUUUAUUACACAUGCAGAUGGAGCUCCAACUUCACUUUGAAAGCAAAUACAUUAGGUUUCAUAUGCAUUGCAGUCAUAAUUAUAUAACAUUUUCUGCUCCAAAUAUUUCAUGACUAUAGCACCAAAAAUCAAUCUUUUCUCAUAGCACUAACCAAUAGGUUAUAGUGUUUCUUGCCUGAAAGCCCAAGUAAACAACUCAAGAAUUGCACCAAAAAGCAUUUAGAUUUAAUUAAUCAAACCAUUAAGUUCCGAAUGAACAAUGAGCUGGAAUGUAGUUGAAGAUUAACUUAUUUUUAGUUUACAAGUAGUUAUGUCAGUUAUAUUAGUUACAACGUAGUUAAGUUUGUUGAUUAAGUUGUUAUAGGUAUUGUUAGUGUAGCUAUACGUAUAGAAGCUAUAUGUAAUCAUAAUGACAGUAUAUAUACUUAGAAUGUACAGAUUAUCAAAUCAUUCAAUGUAUAACAGAGAAAUUCAUCUU